GAUGAACGCUGGCGGCGUGCCUAAUACAUGCAAGUCGAGCGAACAGACGAGGAGCUUGCUCCUCUGACGUUAGCGGCGGACGGGUGAGUAACACGUGGAUAACCUACCUAUAAGACUGGGAUAACUUCGGGAAACCGGAGCUAAUACCGGAUAAUAUAUUGAACCGCAUGGUUCAAUAGUGAAAGACGGUUUUGCUGUCACUUAUAGAUGGAUCCGCGCCGCAUUAGCUAGUUGGUAAGGUAACGGCUUACCAAGGCAACGAUGCGUAGCCGACCUGAGAGGGUGAUCGGCCACACUGGAACUGAGACACGGUCCAGACUACUACGGGAGGCAGCAGUAGGGAAUCUUCCGCAAUGGGCGAAAGCCUGACGGAGCAACGCCGCGUGAGUGAUGAAGGUCUUCGGAUCGUAAAACUCUGUUAUUAGGGAAGAACAAAUGUGUAAGUAACUAUGCACGUCUUGACGGUACCUAAUCAGAAAGCCACGGCUAACUACGU
Molecule: ribosomal RNA, 496 nt
Filed under: uncultured bacterium
Lineage: Bacteria
Description: partial 16S ribosomal RNA
Rfam family: Bacterial small subunit ribosomal RNA
Source: RNAcentral